AACGAACGCUGGCGGCAGGCCUAACACAUGCAAGUCGAACGCCCUAGCAAUAGGGAGUGGCGCACGGGUGCGUAACGCGUGGGAAUAUACCCUUCACUGCGGAAUAACGUUUGGAAACGAACGCUAAUACCGCAUAAUGACUCCGGUCCAAAGAUUUAUCGGUGAAGGAUUAGCCCGCGUUAGAUUAGCUAGUUGGUGAGGUAAUGGCUCACCAAGGCUACGAUCUAUAGCUGGUCUGAGAGGAUGAUCAGCCACACUGGGACUGAGACACGGCCCAGACUCCUACGGGAGGCAGCAGUGAGGAAUAUUGGACAAUGGGGGCAACCCUGAUCCAGCCAUGCCGCGUGAGUGAAGAAGGCCUUCGGGUUGUAAAGCUCUUUCAGUUGUGAAGAUAAUGACGGUAGCAACAGAAGAAGCCCCGGCUAAAUUCGUGCCAGCCGCCGCCGUAA
This 449-nucleotide ribosomal RNA is filed under the name uncultured bacterium. RNAcentral describes it as "partial 16S ribosomal RNA". It matches the Rfam family "Bacterial small subunit ribosomal RNA", at positions 29 to 523 of the family's 1533-position model. The record is from RNAcentral.